Molecule: transfer RNA, 74 nt
Filed under: Candidatus Yanofskybacteria bacterium RIFCSPLOWO2_01_FULL_49_25
Lineage: Bacteria; Candidatus Yanofskyibacteriota
Description: tRNA-Pro
Rfam family: tRNA
About the family: Transfer RNA (tRNA) molecules are approximately 80 nucleotides in length.
Source: RNAcentral
CGGGCUGUAGUGUAACGGUAACACGCUUCGUUCGGGACGAAGAGAUUUAGUGGGUUCGACUCCCACCAGCCCGA